This 485-nucleotide ribosomal RNA is filed under the name uncultured bacterium. RNAcentral's name for it is "bacterial SSU rRNA". It matches the Rfam family "Bacterial small subunit ribosomal RNA", at positions 15 to 507 of the family's 1533-position model. The record is from RNAcentral.
GAUCAUGGCUCAGGACGAACGCUGGCGGCGUGCUUAACACAUGCAAGUCGAGCGGAAAGGCCCUUCGGGGUACUCGAGCGGCGAACGGGUGAGUAACACGUGAGUAAUCUGCCCUUGGCUUUGGGAUAACUACCGGAAACGGUGGCUAAUACCGGAUACGACGCACUCAGGCAUCUGAUGUGUGUGGAAAGUUUUUUCGGCCAGGGAUGUGCUCGCGGCCUACCAGCUUGUUGGUGGGGUAAUGGCCUACCAAGGCUUCGACGGGUAGCCGGCCUGAGAGGGUGACCGGCCACACUGGGACUGAGACACGGCCCAGACUCCUACGGGAGGCAGCAGUGGGGAAUAUUGGACAAUGGGUGGAAGCCUGAUCCAGCAACGCCGCGUGAGGGAUGACGGCCUUCGGGUUGUAAACCUCUUUCAGUACCGACGAAGCGCCGAUGAUGGUGGUGACGGUAGGUACAGAAGAAGCACCGGCCAACUACGUG